This 230-nucleotide ribosomal RNA is filed under the name uncultured bacterium. RNAcentral's name for it is "partial 16S ribosomal RNA". It matches the Rfam family "Bacterial small subunit ribosomal RNA", at positions 87 to 334 of the family's 1533-position model. The record is from RNAcentral.
CGGGUCUAGUGGCGCACGGGUGCGUAACGCGUGGGAAUCUGCCCCUCGGUUCGGAAUAACAGUUAGAAAUGACUGCUAAUACCGGAUAAUGACGUAAGUCCAAAGAUUUAUCGCCGAGGGAUGAGCCCGCGUAAGAUUAGCUAGUUGGUGGGGUAAAGGCCUACCAAGGCUACGAUCUUUAGCUGGUCUGAGAGGAUGAUCAGCCACACUGGGACUGAGACACGGCCCAG